AUCCUCAGCAGUAACUGGAUGAAGUGCACAAGCAGGCUUUAUUCACUACUUCUGGUGGAGUACAGGUUCAUUGCUUAAUGAUUUAAGUAGAAUCUUUUUCCAACUUUUGAAAUGGUUUGCUGUUAUCAGAGUCUGCUCGUUUGCAGGAUUUUUCGAAGUUAGUGAUUGAAGAUUUUAUCAUGUAAUGAAGCUUGCCUAAUGGGGUAUUAGAUAUUAUCUGAAGACCUUGCUGUGUCAAAAACUUUCUGCCUAAUGAUUGGUAGUGGUAGACGCGGCUAUAAAUUUCAUCUUUGUUUUGAA
Molecule: long non-coding RNA, 300 nt
Organism: Beta vulgaris subsp. vulgaris (sugar beet)
Lineage: Eukaryota; Viridiplantae; Streptophyta; Magnoliopsida; Caryophyllales; Amaranthaceae
Exons: 3
Source: RefSeq, a predicted model, not a curated record